RNAcentral lists this transfer RNA (85 nucleotides) under Betaproteobacteria bacterium. Its description in RNAcentral is "tRNA-Leu". It matches the Rfam family "tRNA". Rfam says of the family: Transfer RNA (tRNA) molecules are approximately 80 nucleotides in length. Their secondary structure includes four short double-helical elements and three loops (D, anti-codon, and T loops). The record is from RNAcentral. Lineage: Bacteria; Pseudomonadati; Pseudomonadota; Betaproteobacteria.
GCGAAGGUGGCGGAAUUGGUAGACGCACCGGGUUUAGGUUCCGGCGCCGCGAGGCUUGAGGGUUCGAGUCCCUCCCUUCGCACCC